Long non-coding RNA from Papilio polytes (common Mormon), 158 nucleotides. RefSeq lists it as uncharacterized. Lineage: Eukaryota; Metazoa; Arthropoda; Insecta; Lepidoptera; Papilionidae. The transcript is spliced from 3 exons. The record is from RefSeq and is a predicted model, not a curated record.
UCCUCCAUUUUCUUCAGCUUUCUUAUUACAUCUAAAUGAUGUUUUGAUUCAUCUUUGAGAAUUCCAACGAUAAAUUAUUGAAAGACGACUCGAAAUCCCAGUUUACAAAAUCACAAAGAUAUAUCACAUAACACAAUACUUCUAAUAUUUGUCUAUUA